RNAcentral lists this ribosomal RNA (428 nucleotides) under uncultured archaeon. RNAcentral's name for it is "bacterial SSU rRNA". It matches the Rfam family "Archaeal small subunit ribosomal RNA", at positions 474 to 903 of the family's 1478-position model. The record is from RNAcentral.
UACCAGCUCUCCGAGUAGUGUGGAUGUUUAUUGGGCCUAAAGCAUCCGUAGCUUGCUAUACAAGUCCCCUGUUAAAUCCACCGAUUUAAUCGUUGGAUUGCGGGGGAUACUGUUUGGCUAGGGGACGGGAGAGGCCGACGGUAUUUCCGGGGUAGGGGUGAAAUCCUAUAAUCCCGGGAAGACCACCAGUGGCGAAGGCUGUCGGCUAGAACGCGCCCGACGGUGAGGGAUGAAAGCUGGGGGAGCGAACCGGAUUAGAUACCCGGGUAGUCCCAGCUGUAAACGAUGCAGGCUAGGUGUUUGGGCGGCCACGAGCCGCUCUAGUGCCGCAGGGAAGCUGUUAAGCCUGCCGCCUGGGGAGUACGGCCGCAAGGCUGAAACUUAAAGGAAUUGGCGGGGAGCACCACAAGGCGUGAAGCUUGCGGUUC